UACAGAGGUCUCGAGCGUUAGGCGGAAUCACUGGGCUUAAAGCGUGUGUAGGCGGAUGGGUAAGUACCUUGUGAAAUCCCACGGCUCAACCGUGGAACUGCUCGGUAUACUGCUCGUCUUGAGCCAACUAGGGGCGACCGGAACAAACGGUGGAGCGGUGAAAUGCGUAGAUAUCGUUUGGAACGCCGAUGGUGAAAACAGGUCGCUGGGGUUGUGCUGACGCUGAGACACGAAAGCCAGGGGAGCGAACGGG
RNAcentral lists this ribosomal RNA (253 nucleotides) under uncultured bacterium. RNAcentral describes it as "partial 16S ribosomal RNA". It matches the Rfam family "Bacterial small subunit ribosomal RNA", at positions 524 to 776 of the family's 1533-position model. The record is from RNAcentral.